This 420-nucleotide ribosomal RNA is filed under the name uncultured bacterium. Its description in RNAcentral is "bacterial SSU rRNA". It matches the Rfam family "Bacterial small subunit ribosomal RNA", at positions 218 to 638 of the family's 1533-position model. The record is from RNAcentral.
GUGUGGGAUGAGCCCGCGGCCUAUCAGCUUGUUGGUGGGGUGACGGCCUACCAAGGCGACGACGGGUAGCCGGCCUGAGAGGGUGUCCGGCCACACUGGGACUGAGAUACGGCCCAGACUCCUACGGGAGGCAGCAGUGGGGAAUAUUGCACAAUGGGCGCAAGCCUGAUGCAGCGACGCCGCGUGGGGGAUGACGGCCUUCGGGUUGUAAACCUCUUUCACCAUCGACGAAGGUCCGGGUUCUCUCGGAUUGACGGUAGGUGGAGAAGAAGCACCGGCCAACUACGUGCCAGCAGCCGCGGUAAUACGUAGGGUGCGAGCGUUGUCCGGAAUUACUGGGCGUAAAGAGCUCGUAGGUGGUUUGUCGCGUUGUUCGUGAAAUCUCACGGCUUAACUGUGAGCGUGCGGGCGAUACGGGCA